Molecule: ribosomal RNA, 245 nt
Filed under: uncultured bacterium
Lineage: Bacteria
Description: partial 16S ribosomal RNA
Rfam family: Bacterial small subunit ribosomal RNA
Source: RNAcentral
UACGUAGGAGGCGAGCGUUGUCCGGAUUUACUGGGCGUAAAGGGCGUGUAGGCGGUGGCGUUAGUCGGGUGUGAAAGCCCCUGGCUUAACCAGGGAGGGUCAUCCGAUACUGCGCCGCUUGAGGGCAGCAGAGGAAAGUAGAAUUCCCGGUGUAGUGGUGAAAUGCGUAGAUAUCGGGAGGAAUACCGGUGGCGAAGGCGGCUUUCUGGGCUGCACCUGACGCUGAGGCGCGAAAGCGUGGGGAG